AGAAAUUUAGGCUAAAUAGACCAAGAGCCUUCAAAGCUCUAAGUAGACAAACCCCGUCUAAUUUCUG
Non-coding RNA from Erinaceus europaeus (western European hedgehog), 67 nucleotides. The record is from Ensembl. Lineage: Eukaryota; Metazoa; Chordata; Mammalia; Eulipotyphla; Erinaceidae.